AAAUUUCCUGGACCAAAGUUAGAGGGAAUGAAGUGAAGGUAUACCGCAAAGGCUGUUAACCCAUUCACAAAACAUUGGUUUGGCGUACAAAAAAGAACUUUUUUUUUUUUGUUUUGUUUCCCUUAAAGAAUGUGUACAGAACCCCUUUCCUUCAAUGAUGUAUAUAGAAAGUGUUGUGUUUAA
Non-coding RNA from Camellia sinensis, 183 nucleotides. The record is from RefSeq and is a predicted model, not a curated record. Lineage: Eukaryota; Viridiplantae; Streptophyta; Magnoliopsida; Ericales; Theaceae.